CAUUUAGAGGAAGUAAAAGUCGUAACAAGGUUUCCGUAGGUGAACCUGCGGAAGGAUCACUAGUGAUUAAAUCGAGAGCGUCUUCAUUGACCUCUCACCCUUCACAUCCACAUACACCUGUGCACCGUUUGGCUCUUAUAAAAGACGCAAGUCUGCAAUGAGAGUCAUCAAUUUUAUACAUACCCCAGUCUUAUGAAUGUAACAGUUUUAAUAAACAUAAUAAAACUUUUAACAACGGAUCUCUUGGUUCUC
RNAcentral lists this unclassified non-coding RNA (252 nucleotides) under Mrakia frigida. Its description in RNAcentral is "partial internal transcribed spacer region". The stretch from base 1 to 62 matches the Rfam family "Eukaryotic small subunit ribosomal RNA", at positions 1770 to 1831 of the family's 1831-position model. Lineage: Eukaryota; Fungi; Basidiomycota; Tremellomycetes; Cystofilobasidiales; Mrakiaceae. The record is from RNAcentral.